RNAcentral lists this unclassified non-coding RNA (380 nucleotides) under soil metagenome. RNAcentral describes it as "partial contains 5.8S ribosomal RNA, internal transcribed spacer 2, and large subunit ribosomal RNA". The stretch from base 1 to 120 matches the Rfam family "5.8S ribosomal RNA", at positions 35 to 154 of the family's 154-position model. The record is from RNAcentral.
GAUGAAGAACGUAGCGAAAUGCGAUAAGUAAUGUGAAUUGCAGAAUUCAGUGAAUCAUCGAAUCUUUGAACGCACCUUGCACCCUUUGGCAUUCUGAAGGGUAUGCUCGUUUGAGUGUCAUUGUACUCUCACACUCCCGAUCUUUGCAUUGGGAGCAGUGGACUUGGGUUUGCUGCUUCACCGUCGCUUACCUCAAAUAGGUUAGUGCAACUCUUGGUUGGACAUAGUACGGCGUGAUAAGUGUUCUUCGCCGGUGUCUCGCAAAGAGGGUGGCCGAUCGGGAUGUUGUGCUCCAAACCGUCUUCGGACAAUCUCUGACGACUUGACCUCAAAUCGAGUAAGACUACCCGCUGAACUUAAGCAUAUCAAUAAGCGGAGGA